Cinara cedri is the source of this 490-nucleotide non-coding RNA. Lineage: Eukaryota; Metazoa; Arthropoda; Insecta; Hemiptera; Aphididae. The record is from the annotation of a GenBank genome assembly.
UUCAUAAUAGAACACAUUUGGCCCGCCAUCGGCGGUCUAUCCAAUUUCCACCUAAUUGUUUUCAUUCAAUUCUGACACGGUCAAAACCAAAAAUGAAAACGGUAAAACAAUAAUAACAAAAAUUGGCACAGGGACAGCUAGUAUGAUAAUACAAUAGCGUAAUAAAUGUUUGUUAGGUGUAACGACAAGUGUGUUUUCUGGCAUCCGUACUUUCGGAAUCACACAUUUUAACACCACGCGGUGCUUUAUUUUAUACAGUUCUGUACAACCAUCGAAAACUCUAAAAAUUCAAUUUAAUCUCGUAGGUGCUGCGAUAACGUGUACAAUAGAGAAUAAGGGUGGCCGAAACACUUAUUGUAAAAAUUGUAAAAUCACUAUCUCCUUCACUUUACUGGGCGUCUAAAGCAGAAGUUAUUGUGUCGUAUAAUAAUACAAUCAAGGGAUCGAUGUAUAUCUGUUUAUUAUCAGAUACAUCGGGUAAAAGUUCUCU